UGGGGAAUAUUGCACAAUGGGGGAAACCCUGAUGCAGCGACGCCGCGUGAGCGAAGAAGGUUUUCGAAUCGUAAAGCUCUGUCCUAUGGGAAGAUAAUGACGGUACCAUAGGAGGAAGCCCCGGCUAACUACGUGCCAGCAGCCGCGGUAAUACGUAGGGGGCAAGCGUUGUCCGGAAUCACUGGGCGUAAAGGGUUCGCAGGCGGAAAUGCAAGUCAGUUGUGAAAGGCAGAGGCUCAACCUCUGUACGCAAUUGAAACUGUAUUUCUUGAGAUGUGGAGAGGCAAGUGGAAUUCCUAGUGUAGCGGUGAAAUGCGUAGAUAUUAGGAAGAAUACCGGUGGCGAAGGCGACUUGCUGGACACAAACUGACGCUGAGGAACGAAAGCGUGGGUAGCAAACAGG
Molecule: ribosomal RNA, 403 nt
Filed under: Fusobacteriota bacterium
Lineage: Bacteria; Fusobacteriati; Fusobacteriota
Description: Fusobacteria bacterium partial 16S ribosomal RNA
Rfam family: Bacterial small subunit ribosomal RNA
Source: RNAcentral